UAUAACAUAAUUAUGCUGAUUUAAAGUUAGAAGCUUUAUUUUUUUUGUAUUUCUUU
This 56-nucleotide transfer RNA is filed under the name Plateros sp. UPOL A00481. Its description in RNAcentral is "partial tRNA-Ser". The record is from RNAcentral. Lineage: Eukaryota; Metazoa; Arthropoda; Insecta; Coleoptera; Lycidae.